This 502-nucleotide ribosomal RNA is filed under the name uncultured bacterium. Its description in RNAcentral is "bacterial SSU rRNA". It matches the Rfam family "Bacterial small subunit ribosomal RNA", at positions 28 to 507 of the family's 1533-position model. The record is from RNAcentral.
AAUGAACGUUGGCGGCGUGGAUUAGGCAUGCAAGUCGAGCGACAAGGUCAGACGGAACCUUCGGGGGAAGUCUGGCUGGAGGAGCGGCAAACGGGGUAGUAAAGCGUCGGAACGUACCCACAGGACCGGGAUAGCCGCGCCUUGGGCAACCAAGGUUCGCGAAAGUGCGGGUAAUACCGGAUGAUCUCUACGGAGCAAAUGGUCCGCCGCCUGUGGACCGGCCGACGUGGUACUAGCUUGUUGGUGAGGUAACGGCUCACCAAGGCUUCUAUGGUACCGGGUGUGAGAGCAUGGCCCGGCUCACUGGGACUGAGACACUGCCCAGACACCUACGGGUGGCUGCAGUCGAGAAUCUUCGGCAAUGCGCGCAAGCGUGACCGAGCGACGCCGCGUGCGGGAUGAAGGCCUUCGGGUUGUAAACCGCUGUCAGUUGGGAGGAAAUCCAUAGGGGCUAUCCCCUAUGGUUGACCUAUCAUCAGAGGAAGGACGGGCUAAGUUCGUG